Molecule: ribosomal RNA, 497 nt
Filed under: uncultured bacterium
Lineage: Bacteria
Description: partial 16S ribosomal RNA
Rfam family: Bacterial small subunit ribosomal RNA
Source: RNAcentral
GAUGAACGCUGGCGGCGUGCCUAAUACAUGCAAGUCGAGCGAACAGACGAGGAGCUUGCUCCUCUGACGUUAGCGGCGGACGGGUGAGUAACACGUGGAUAACCUACCUAUAAGACUGGGAUAACUUCGGGAAACCGGAGCUAAUACCGGAUAACAUGUUGAACCGCAUGGUUCAACAGUGAAAGACGGUCUUGCUGUCACUUAUAGAUGGAUCCGCGCCGCAUUAGCUAGUUGGUAAGGUAACGGCUUACCAAGGCAACGAUGCGUAGCCGACCUGAGAGGGUGAUCGGCCACACUGGAACUGAGACACGGUCCAGACUCCUACGGGAGGCAGCAGUAGGGAAUCUUGCGCAAUGGGCGAAAGCCUGACGGAGCAACGCCGCGUGAGUGAAGAAGGUCUUCGGAUCGUAAAACUCUGUUAUUAGGGAAGAACAACUGUGGAAGUAACUAUGGACGUCUUGACGGUACCUAAUCAGAAAGCCACGGCUAACUUCGUG